Molecule: long non-coding RNA, 1730 nt
Filed under: Triticum aestivum (bread wheat)
Lineage: Eukaryota; Viridiplantae; Streptophyta; Magnoliopsida; Poales; Poaceae
Description: long non-coding RNA (TAES_LNC026725)
Source: RNAcentral
GAUGCUAUUGGUACUUGCUCACGCUCAUUUCUCAUGUUUAUGUUCAGGCCUAACCUCACAAAACUUUGGUAUGCACUCACGUAUAAUCAGGGCUUGCUUAUUUAAAUUCUUGAAUUCAUUUUAUAUAUAUUAUAUCAUUAUUAUUUGUUAUCAGUUUUUUGUUUACGAUUUCCAAUUGGGUAAUAUCCCAUCAUACUACUAGGCAUUGGCCAGGUACUGGACUUUGGCUGGUUGUCAAUAUAAGCUUUGUGUUCUCCUUUGUUUUUACCUCAUUUAUAAAGUCCUUGAUUGAGCAAGCAUUUGAUUUCUAUGCCAACAUAGAUCUUAUUGCUCAUCAAAGGUAUCUAAAAGUUGUGUGCUCUGCAAUAGAUGGGUUGUGUUAGUCAAUAGAAAUACCUAAUAUGUCAGUUUUGUUGCCAAAUAUUUUAAACACAGAUAUAUACAGAGUUCUAGAACAGAAGAUGAUCUGGUGGUUACCUUUCUGUUAUUUACUCGAAUGACUGUACGUAUAUCUUACCUUCAGACUUUAUCCGAUCUUAGUUAGUUUUCCAUCUCCAAUCAGAUUAAUGGUUUGCAUGCAGACCAAGCCCAGUGUUCUAUGGUGUUCUUAUUCCUGAUUUAGUUGUACAUUUGACUUUUAGUUUCUUCAUAGAUAAUAAAGUAGUGGCAGAUGACCCAGUAAGUUAUUUGUGCCCAUGCUUUGCUGUAAGCAUUAAAUUUGCUCUCUGCUUUUACUUUCGAUGUGUUAUCCGUACCCCUGCUUUUUGUGGCUAAUUAUUAUCUCCUAUCAACAUAUGCAGAGUCCAUGGUAUCAUACGAUUUGAAGUUGAAAAAUUCAUGCUAUGGGUGAUACGGAAAAGGCAUUGCCUUCUUUGCUGGAACAUUUCCUAAGAUGAUCUAAGGUAAUUAUUUUAGUCACCAUGUCAUUUAUAUGCUAAAUUCAGUGCAUUGACAACUAGAGAUCGCUUCCUUUUUUGUGUAUUGAUCAUUUCAGUACGAUUGUUUGAUACACUGCCGACAUCAUUUUGCUUCUUCUUGCUUGGUAUUUCAUUUAUUUCCUCCAGCAAGUGGAUGGCUAUUUCCACUGCUUCAGGUUUCGUUUUGGCUCUAAUUGUGUGUAUGGCAUCUUGGCCUUCUUAGGUGAAGCAGUUAUGAAUAUCCUCGCUGAUCUAUGGAUCUAUCAUUGUAAGAGUCGAUGAUAUAUGGUGAGCUGCCUCACACCAUCAUUUGGUCUUCGUAGCAUUUGAGUUGGCAAAUUUGUUGGAUUCAUGCGAUUAGGCAUGGUAAGUGCUCAGAGACUCAUAGCUCUAUAACUGUUUGCUUCCAAAAGUUUUGAAUCUUUUCUGCGCUUGGUCCUCUCAUUGGUGAGAGUAGCCAUGUAAAUCAAUCUGCUAUGGGAAAUGGGAGUUUGCAAACUACCGGAGUCUAAUUGCUGAGGGACGAGGUUCGUAACUGAGGGUCAUGUGCAGAGCUGGAGGAAGAAGUUGCGAGGCUUGGAACUCUCCUUGUGAAGGGCUCAGGGACAGCAGUGAGGACAAUACCUCUUUAGUUGUAAUUGUGAUACUCCUGAUGUGCAAGUAAUCGCUCCUGUGAUACUCCUUAUACUAAAAUGUUGGUUGUUAGUACAGAGGUGUUGACAUUAUUUGGUUCUCUGGUAUUGAUUUCAUGAUUUGUGGUUAAUACAUGAUCUAAUACAAUCCACAUUGCAGUAUAUUUCCAGUUACAUCUCC